CCUACGGGCGGCAGCAGUGAGGAAUAUUGGUCAAUGGCCGGAAGGCUGAACCAGCCAUGCCGCGUGAAGGUCAGUGCCCUAUGGGCGUUAAACUUCUUUUGUGCGGGAGCAAUAAUGGUCACGUGUGGCCAGACGAGAGUACCGUACGAAUAAGCAUCGGCUAACUCCGUGCCAGCAGCCGCGGUAAUACGGGGGGUGCAAGCGUUAUCCGGGUUUAUUGGGUUUAAAGGGUGCGUAGGCUGGGAGGUAAGUCAGCGGUGAAAUGCCCCCGCUCAACGGGGUGAAGUACCAUUGAUACUGCCUUGCUGGAAUGCGGAUGCGGUAGGAGGAAGUCGUGGUGUAGCGGUGAAAUGCAUAGAUAUCACGAAGAACACCGAUUGCGAAGGCAUCUCACGAAUCCGCGAUUGACGCUGAUGCACGAAAGCGUGGGUAUCAAACAGGAUUAGAUACCCGUGUAGUC
RNAcentral lists this ribosomal RNA (460 nucleotides) under uncultured bacterium. RNAcentral describes it as "partial 16S ribosomal RNA". It matches the Rfam family "Bacterial small subunit ribosomal RNA", at positions 338 to 795 of the family's 1533-position model. The record is from RNAcentral.